UGGCUGUCGUCAGCUCGUGUCGUGAGAUGUUGGGUUAAGUCCCGUAACGAGCGCAACCCUUGUCCUUAGUUACCAGCACGUUAUGGUGGGCACUCUAAGGAGACUGCCGGUGACAAACCGGAGGAAGGUGGGGAUGACGUCAAGUCAUCAUGGCCCUUACGGCCAGGGCUACACACGUGCUACAAUGGUCGGUACAAAGGGUUGCCAAGCCGCGAGGUGGAGCUAAUCCCAUAAAACCGAUCGUAGUCCGGAUCGCAGUCUGCAACUCGACUGCGUGAAGUCGGAAUCGCUAGUAAUCGUGAAUCAA
Molecule: ribosomal RNA, 307 nt
Filed under: Pseudomonas sp. Expt1_423C7_P13C_A12
Lineage: Bacteria; Pseudomonadati; Pseudomonadota; Gammaproteobacteria; Pseudomonadales; Pseudomonadaceae
Description: bacterial SSU rRNA
Rfam family: Bacterial small subunit ribosomal RNA
Source: RNAcentral